Molecule: microRNA precursor, 275 nt
Filed under: Oryza barthii
Lineage: Eukaryota; Viridiplantae; Streptophyta; Magnoliopsida; Poales; Poaceae
Description: MIR821 microRNA precursor family
Rfam family: MIR821 microRNA precursor family
Source: Rfam by way of RNAcentral
GAUUUCAAUUGAAAAAGUCAUCAACAACAAAGUUGAAUAACUCAUCAAGAUCUAAAACUUUUAUUUUUGUUAUUUCUUCAUCUGACGAAAUGUUAGUAAUAUUAUUCACAAAUCUUACAUAUAUGUGUUAUAGUUUAUAAAACCAGAUAAGAGAUAUGUCAAUUUUGUGAACAAUGUUACUAUCACUUUGUCGUAUGAAGAAAUGACCAAAAUAAAAGUUUUAGAUCUUGAUGAGUUAUUCAACUUUGUUGUUGAUGACUUUUUCAGUUGAUAUC